CUCCAAUAGCGUAUAUUAAAGUUGUUGCGGUUAAAAAGCUCGUAGUUGGAUCUCGGUUUCGGGCGGAUGGUGCACCUCGCGGUGUUUACUGUCUACCGGACGAUUGUUAGUUCGUUCGUGGUUCUCUUAACCGAGUGCCACGGGUGGCUGACACGUUUACUUUGAAAAAAUUGGAGUGCUCAAGCAGGCGCUACAGCCUG
RNAcentral lists this ribosomal RNA (200 nucleotides) under uncultured eukaryote. Its description in RNAcentral is "partial 18S ribosomal RNA". It matches the Rfam family "Eukaryotic small subunit ribosomal RNA", at positions 589 to 797 of the family's 1831-position model. The record is from RNAcentral.